UAGUUGGUGAGGUAAUGGCUCACCAAGGCUAUGACGCAUAACUGGUCUGAGAGGAUGAUCAGUCACACUGGAACUGAGACACGGUCCAGACUCCUACGGGAGGCAGCAGUAGGGAAUAUUGCUCAAUGGGGGAAACCCUGAAGCAGCAACGCCGCGUGGAGGAUGACACUUUUCGGAGCGUAAACUCCUUUUCUUAGGGAAGAAAUUUGACGGUACCUAAGGAAUAAGCACCGGCUAACUCCGUGCCAGCGGCCGCGGUAAUACGGAGGGUGCAAGCGUUACUCGGAAUCACUGGGCGUAAAGGACGCGUAGGCGGAUUAUCAAGUCUUUUGUGAAAUCUAAUGGCUCAACCAUUAAACUGC
RNAcentral lists this ribosomal RNA (362 nucleotides) under Campylobacter lanienae. Its description in RNAcentral is "bacterial SSU rRNA". It matches the Rfam family "Bacterial small subunit ribosomal RNA", at positions 246 to 624 of the family's 1533-position model. Lineage: Bacteria; Pseudomonadati; Campylobacterota; Epsilonproteobacteria; Campylobacterales; Campylobacteraceae. The record is from RNAcentral.